UUUCGCAAUGCCCGAAAGGGUGACGAAGCGACGCCGCGUGCGGGAAGAAGGCCUUCGGGUUGUAAACCGCUGUCGGGAGUUAGGAAAUGUAAGGAUGUUAAUAGCAUCUUUGCUUGACUAAGGCUCCGGAGGAAGCCACGGCUAACUCUGUGCCAGCAGCCGCGGUAAUACAGAGGCGGCAAGCGUUGUUCGGAAUUAUUGGGCGUAAAGAGCACGUAGGCGGCUAUGUAAGUCGGUUGUGAAAGCCUUCCGCUCAACGGGAGAACAGCAUCCGAUACUGCAUGGCUUGAGUGCGGGAGGGGAGAGUGGAACUUCUGGUGGAGCGGUGAAAUGCGUAGAUAUCAGAAGGAACGCCGGCGGCGAAAGCGGCUCUCUGGCCCAUAACUGACGCUGAGUGUGCGAAAGCUAGGGGAGCAAACGGGAUUAGAUACCCCGGUAGUCCUAGCCGUAAACGAUGGGCACUAAGUAGAGGGGUUUUAAUCUC
This 484-nucleotide ribosomal RNA is filed under the name uncultured bacterium. RNAcentral describes it as "bacterial SSU rRNA". It matches the Rfam family "Bacterial small subunit ribosomal RNA", at positions 364 to 841 of the family's 1533-position model. The record is from RNAcentral.